RNAcentral lists this non-coding RNA (24 nucleotides) under Arabidopsis thaliana (thale cress). The record is from RNAcentral. Lineage: Eukaryota; Viridiplantae; Streptophyta; Magnoliopsida; Brassicales; Brassicaceae.
CUCCACUACUUUUAGAUCCUCAGC